Molecule: ribosomal RNA, 439 nt
Filed under: uncultured Synergistaceae bacterium
Lineage: Bacteria; Thermotogati; Synergistota; Synergistia; Synergistales; Synergistaceae
Description: bacterial SSU rRNA
Rfam family: Bacterial small subunit ribosomal RNA
Source: RNAcentral
CCUACGGGGGGCAGCAGUGGGGAAUAUUGGGCAAUGGGGGAAACCCUGACCCAGCGACGCCGCGUGAGGGAAGACAGCCUUCGGGUUUUAAACCUCUUUUGUACGGGAAGAUAAUGACGGUACUGUACGAAUAAGUCCCGGCUAACUACGUGCCAGCAGCCGCGGUAAUACGUAGGGGACGAGCGUUGUCCGGAAUUACUGGGCGUAAAGGGCGCGCAGGCUGCGUUACAAGUCAGCUGUUAAAUGCAUGGGCUUACCCCAUGAGUGCGGUUGAAACUGUAGUGCUAGAGUACUGUAGAGGCAAGCGGAAUUCCCAGUGUAGCGGUGAAAUGCGUAGAUAUUGGGAGGAACACCGGUGGCGUAGGCGGCUUGCUGGACAGUAACUGACGCUGAGGCGCGAAAGCCAGGGGAGCAAACGGGCUUAGAUACCCCAGUAGUC